CGAGAAAGCCCGCAAGGGUGAGUAAAGCGGCGCACGGGUGCGUAACACGUGGAUAAUCUGCCCUGGAGUCCGGAACAACUCGCCGAAAGGCGAGCUAAUGCCGGAUGAGACCACGGGGGCUUCGGCCCCUGAGGGAAAAGGUGGCCUCUGUACACAAGCUAUCGCUUCAGGAUGAGUCCGCGGCCCAUCAGCUAGUUGGCGGGGUAAUGGCCCACCAAGGCGACGACGGGUAGCUGGUCUGAGAGGACGAUCAGCCACACUGGAACUGAGACACGGUCCAGACUCCUACGGGAGGCAGCAGCGGGGAAUCUUGCGCAAUGGGCGAAAGCCUGACGCAGCAACGCCGCGUGUGUGAUGAAGGUCUUCGGAUCGUAAAGCACUGUCGCGAGGGACG
RNAcentral lists this ribosomal RNA (394 nucleotides) under uncultured Anaeromyxobacter sp. RNAcentral's name for it is "bacterial SSU rRNA". It matches the Rfam family "Bacterial small subunit ribosomal RNA", at positions 67 to 447 of the family's 1533-position model. Lineage: Bacteria; Pseudomonadati; Myxococcota; Myxococcia; Myxococcales; Anaeromyxobacteraceae. The record is from RNAcentral.